AAGAAUUAUUUACUAGAUAAGCUAGCAGUUUUAUUUAACAAGAGUGGCGGCAACAUUCAUGACUUCAACCUCCCAAGGAAAACCGACAACCUAGAAGGUAGAAAUGUCAAUCAUUUACUCAAAGAAGAGUUGUCAUAUGAUGCAAACAGCCUUUCAUAUGAAUCUGAAGUCCUAAUUUAUCAAUUAAACACAGAACAAAUGAAAGCCUUUAACACUAUUGUGGAAAAUGUGCUAUCUGGACAGCCUGGCUUCUACUUUGUUUCGGGGUAUGGUGGGACUGGAAAAACCUUCCUUUGGAAUACCAUCGUAGCAUAUCUGCGUUCGCAGAAAAAGGUUGUUCUUACAGUUGCUUCUUCAGGGGUUGCCGCAUUACUCCUUCCAGGAG
Molecule: unclassified non-coding RNA, 385 nt
Filed under: Zea mays
Lineage: Eukaryota; Viridiplantae; Streptophyta; Magnoliopsida; Poales; Poaceae
Description: misc RNA Zm00001eb134370
Source: RNAcentral